Molecule: ribosomal RNA, 440 nt
Filed under: uncultured bacterium
Lineage: Bacteria
Description: partial 16S ribosomal RNA
Rfam family: Bacterial small subunit ribosomal RNA
Source: RNAcentral
CCUACGGGUGGCAGCAGUGGGGAAUAUUGCACAAUGGAGGAAACCCUGAUGCAGCGACGCCGCGUGAGUGAAGAAGUCUCUCUGUAUGUAAAGCUCUAUCAGCAGGGAAGUAAAUCACGGUACCUGCCUAAUAAUCCCCGUCUAACUACGUGCCAGCAGCCGCGGUAAGACGUAGGGGGCAAGCGUUAUCCGGAUUUACUGGGUGUAAUGGGGGCGUAGACGGGGCUGCAAGUCCGGAGUGAAAGCCCAUGGCUUAACCAUGUUACUGCUCUGGAAACUGUGGAGCUUGAGUGCGGGAGGGGCAGGCGGAAUUCGUAGUGUAGCGGUGAAAUGCGUAGAUAUUAGGAGGAACACCGGCGGCGAAGGCGGCCUGCUGGACAGUAACUGACGUUGAGGCUCGAAAGCGUGGGUAGCAAACAGGAUUAGAUACCCCAGUAGUC